AACAACAAAAUAAAUACGUUUUUGCAUUUAAUGUUGAGUGUGUGUGUGUUUGUGUGUGUAUAAAUGUGAUAAAGUUUGUUUGAUGUGAAAGUGGUGACAGCUGAGGCAGUUGCACCAAAGAGAAACUGCUGUACCUUUUGAUUAGAGACCGCUGUCGGCUGAGUGAUCACUUUUGGCGACUGGGCGAUACAGUCAGAAAACUAAAUGUGACCCUUCUUUUCUCUGUAUUUUUACACAGAAUAUUGACUGAUCCUAUAUAUCAGGUGGUGGAAUUAUUCUUAUGUAUAGUAGAAACAAUUUCAGUCACUCAAAAUGGGUGUGUCCGUUUCUAACAUUUAAAACACCCUAAUCUGGAUCCAUCCAUUUUCACUACCUCAGUCUUCCAGUUUCUCUUUCAACAACCAACUGCCUCAGUCUUUGACAAACUUG
Long non-coding RNA from Thalassophryne amazonica, 429 nucleotides. RefSeq lists it as uncharacterized. NCBI's taxonomy places the organism in Eukaryota, Metazoa, Chordata, Actinopteri, Batrachoidiformes, Batrachoididae. The record is from RefSeq and is a predicted model, not a curated record. The transcript has 2 exons.